This 475-nucleotide unclassified non-coding RNA is filed under the name Hevea brasiliensis (rubber tree). Lineage: Eukaryota; Viridiplantae; Streptophyta; Magnoliopsida; Malpighiales; Euphorbiaceae. The record is from RNAcentral.
GAGAAAUGGAGGGAAAGAAAAGAAAGAUGAAAAUAAAUUUUCUUUUGGCGGUUUUAAUCAAGUCAAAGUAGCUGUCUUAGAUUCAAUUGAAUGGAUUUUCAAAUAAACUCCCUUCGUUAUGCAUCAGCAUUGAAUUUAGUUAACAAUGUAGAAUUUGCUGAUUGUGGUGAUUAUUAUAUGUCUGCUUGAGGAGGAGAAAAAUGAAAAUGUGCAAGGUUGUAUUGCAUUCCUGUCCAAAUGAAAAGCUUAGCUCUAGUGGGCUAGUUGUUGCAUUAGUCUAAUCCACCCUCCUUUUCUGGUGCGGUGUAUAAAUCUACUACUUGGUAAUUGUCAUUGCUGUGUGGAAUUCGGUGUAUGUUCAAAUAUUUGUUAGUUUGUUGCAUUCGCUGAUUGAAUUAGUCAGUCUUGGUGGGUUUAUUUGAAAAUUUCAUUUCUUGUUGGUAGUUGAGGACUCUUAAAUUGACUUGUUAGCUCU